Non-coding RNA from Cinara cedri, 414 nucleotides. The record is from the annotation of a GenBank genome assembly. NCBI's taxonomy places the organism in Eukaryota, Metazoa, Arthropoda, Insecta, Hemiptera, Aphididae.
UAUUUAUAAUUUGAAUGUCUUUUCGAUUGCACUGUUUUAAAUCAUCAGUCUCAAUUGUAGUUUGUGUUCCGUCAAAUGCUUUUAAUGUGAAUAAAUGUUAUUCUAAACAUUAUAAUGCUUGUUUACUAUCUAAAUGAUAAUUUCAAUUUUAUCUAUUAAUUAUCAAAAUGGAUAUGACAUUUAUUUUCCAUUUUAUAAAACAUUUUUUUAGAUCAUAUUUAUUUAUAUUAUACUCAUAGAUGCAAAACUUGUUUUUGAUAAAUUAGUUAUUUAUAUUUACGCUUUUAAUAUAUAAUAAGAUAAAAUUUAGUUAAAGUAUGUGUGAACUUUUAAAAUUGAUAUAGUUUUAGACUGUUUUUUUACAGUGAAAUGAAUCAUAAUUUUUGUGUUUUAUAAAUAUUUAAUAGAUACAUA